Molecule: ribosomal RNA, 240 nt
Filed under: uncultured bacterium
Lineage: Bacteria
Description: partial 16S ribosomal RNA
Rfam family: Bacterial small subunit ribosomal RNA
Source: RNAcentral
AGAGUUUGAUCAUGGCUCAGGACGAACGCUGGCGGCGUGCCUAACACAUGCAAGUCGAACGAAGCUUAUGACUUCGGUUGUAAGCUUAGUGGCGGACGGGUGAGUAACGCGUGAGUAACCUGCCUUACAGAGGGGGAUAACGGUCUGGAAACGGACGCUAAUACCGCAUGACAUCAUAGUACCGCAUGGUACAGUGAUCAAAGGAGCAAUCCGCUGUAAGAUGGACUCGCGUCCGAUUAG